RNAcentral lists this ribosomal RNA (316 nucleotides) under uncultured fungus. Its description in RNAcentral is "eukaryotic LSU rRNA". The stretch from base 1 to 71 matches the Rfam family "5.8S ribosomal RNA", at positions 84 to 154 of the family's 154-position model. The record is from RNAcentral. Lineage: Eukaryota; Fungi.
GUGAAUCAUCGAAUCUUUGAACGCAUCUUGCGCUCCUUGGUAUUCCGAGGAGCAUGCCUGUUUGAGUGUCAUUAUAUUCUCGACUCUCCAAUACUUUGUUGUAAAGGAGAGCUUGGAUUGUGGAGGUUUGCUGGCUCCUUACUUGGGGUCAGCUCCUCUGAAAUGCAUUAGCGGAAUCGUCUGCGAUCUGCCACAAGUGUGAUAACUUAUCUACACUGGCGAGGGGAUUGCUUUCUGAUGUUCAGCUUCUAAUCGUCUAAGGACAAUUUCUUGAAUGCUUGACCUCAAAUCAGGUAGGACUACCCGCUGAACUUAA